CGCAGCCAACUAGUCUUCAAAUGCAUGAGGUCCACCGAGAACUUGCAAAUGAUUGAACCCUUCCAAAAUUUGGCGUUUUCCACAAAUGAAGACAUGCUUGCUUGCCAUCUUUAAUUGUCAAUCUUUAUCUUUUCCAUCGAAAACAAGAAAAUGAAGCUGGCUGUUUUUCUUUAUCGGUGUACAAAACUCGUUCUUACUCAAAAUCUCCUUUAAUUUUGUAACUGCAUCACUCCCAUCAUCUGAGUAUUCCAAAUAAAGCUAGUGCAUUGUCCACGCCCAUAGAAAAGCAAAAACGGUAAUUAAUCGCUCAUCCAUACGUUUGGAAUAUGAGAAAUCUUUGACCACUCAGAGCCACU
This 356-nucleotide unclassified non-coding RNA is filed under the name Hevea brasiliensis (rubber tree). The record is from RNAcentral. Lineage: Eukaryota; Viridiplantae; Streptophyta; Magnoliopsida; Malpighiales; Euphorbiaceae.